This 70-nucleotide transfer RNA is filed under the name Asthenactis papyraceus. Its description in RNAcentral is "tRNA-Ala". RNAcentral also lists the same sequence under 1 other name. Lineage: Eukaryota; Metazoa; Echinodermata; Asteroidea; Spinulosida; Pythonasteridae. The record is from RNAcentral.
GUAAUCUUAGUUUAACCAAAACAUUUACUUUGCACGUAAACAUCUUAGGUCCUCAUCCCUAAAGCUUACA